Molecule: RNA transcript, 6214 nt
Organism: Macrobrachium nipponense
Lineage: Eukaryota; Metazoa; Arthropoda; Malacostraca; Decapoda; Palaemonidae
Gene name: testis-specific gene 10 protein-like
Exons: 5
Source: RefSeq, a predicted model, not a curated record
GACGGCAGCGGAGGCACCGGGUAUCAGUGUCCCUCGAGUCUCAGGCAAGCAGUACGGGACAAGAGAGAGAGAGAGGACCAGCCGUUGUGACGGACUUGAAGCGCUCAAUCAUCUUUUGCAAUUAAGCGCAUCAAAAUGGAGGCUGUCUGGGCGGCCCUGUUUCUCCUGCUGCAGAUGACGUCUGCUUUCAGCGUAAUGGGCUAUAUUCCAUCGCAGUCCUCCAUACACUCACGCUCAAAACGUUCUGAGGGACACACUUGCAGUCCAGAACUUGUGGACAAUUUGGCCAAAACUGCAAAGGAAACUUGUUCCCAAGUGGAGGUUGUCGACAAUCAUAUUAGCAACAUCCAGGCCAGACAAGAAGUGCCAGUUCCAUCUUUCGCUGACCGCCAUGGCUUCAAAGCCAUCCUCGGUCAGUACAACGGAGACCUCAAGACGGCGCAAGGACACUGCCACCUUUGGAGGGAUGGUGACAAUGUUGUUGCUUCUCUGAAGCAGGUGGUCGUAGCUGCACAGGAAUUUGAGCCUAAGUUCAUUGCAGAGUUGGAUAGGAAUCAGUCCAGGAUUAAGAAUAUUCUCGAAAAUCGCAAGGAUAUUGUAACAAUGGAAGCUACAGUUGCUGUAUUGCAAAAGUCUGUAUCAGAGGCUAAAGAGGCUAUCAAGGCUACCAAAUUUCAAGAAUUAAUUUCAUAUCUCGAAAAUGUUAUCAGAACCAAAGAAGAGGAAAUCAACACCACGAUGACUGAACAUAAAGCCCUAGUAAGACUUCCACUCGCUGAACUUGUGGAAUAUCUUGAAUUUGUGAAGGCCGGAGCUGUGGAUAUUGGAACCAAAGCUAACGCUGCCAAUACCAAGAUCACCAGCUUUAGAGAAAAUCUCAUUAGGGAUGCCGGUGCCUUUAAGAGACAUCGCACAAACGCCCAAGAUGGAAUUGCUAAGCUACACCAAGAUAAACAAAACAACAAAAAUAUUAUCAAGAGCGUCCAACAAAGCAUCAACAACUUGAGAGGAAGCAUCGACCAGGAAAACGCCCAGAUCGCCUCCCUUCAUGCUCAGAUUGCGCAGGCGCAGAGUGAGAUCAGGAAAAUUGAAGAUAUCAUAGGAAGACUCCCGAAGGGGACUGGUCUAUUCCAUAACUUACUCAGGAAAGCCAAGGAACAUUACGCCCGACUGGCCGACGAAAGCAGACAUCUCGUUGCUGAGGCCAAUCGUCAGCUCCAGAACCUCCAGGCUCAUAUCGCUUCACGUAACCAGGAGAUCAAUCGCCAUCAGCAGCAAAUCAACAGCCUUGAAGCCAAAAACCGAGAACUUGAACAGGAACUGCAGCACUUCAGUCAGCUCGACGAGAAUCUUCGCAGCCUUGAAGGUGAGGUCAACGCCAUCCUGCCUUCCAUCGCAAGUGCUGUCAGUGGAGUCGGGAAGAUGAAGGAAAACUUCGACUCCAUUCAGCAAAACUUAGGAAGCGCCAUUGCUCGAGCAAAGGAAGCCAAAACGGAAGCUGAAAUAAAAAAUGUGCGGUACUUCAUCUACAAUGAAAUCGAUGACAUCAAAUGCAGCUGGGAGAAUGCAAGGAAUAUAAUUGUUUUAGUUGGUAAAUGUAACUGAUAGCUUGUAUUUCUAUGAUUUCAGUAUUAAUUACCUUAUAAAUAUUAUUUAUAUCAUAAAGAUAAUAGAUACUGAAUAUAAGUUUUUUUUAGUGUACCAUAACGCUUACGGUAUAUUAAUCUUAAUAUCAUGAGAUGAUUCGUGCCAUGGCCAGUAUUCAUCAUUAACUACGUCUUUGCUUUAUAAUAUAUAAUAUGAUACAUUAUCGACCAUGCAUCGAACUGAUUUCAUUCACUGAAUACUUUAUAUUUGAGACUGAGAUGUUAUGGUUAUCAAGUGUCAGUAUUAAGCUCUGAAAAUUUAAAAAUCAAGAUUUUUUUCAGAAAUCAAAGUCUAAUUGACCCUGAAGUUGUUCCUUUUGAUUUGCAGUCUAUGAAAAAGUUUUUUAUCAGCGAAUGACAAAGGAUUAAAGACGCUCUCAGGCGGAUGAAUUCGAUAUGAAAUAGAUAUAAGCAAUAAUUGGGUACAUGGGCUUCCUUUACGAAUGUUUUUUGGAGUUUGAAAAAUGAAUAAUUUGGUGGGUAGACCUUCUAUGUGCAAAAUUAUGUUAAUUUCCAUAAAAAGAAUAAAAAAGACUGAACCUCCUCACAAAUAUUUUUUCAUUUAUGUUUUAUUCUAGUCUUUAAGAGUUUCAUCUAUUUUGGUCUAGAUCAGUGGUUCCCAAACUUUUUUCUGUCAUUUCCCCCUACACCCAGUUCAACCUUCUGGUGAUUUCCCCCGUCAUGUGUAUGAGGGAAAGAGUAGUUAAAACACACUGUGACUAUUUACUAAUUUAUUUUUCAAAUGUACAAAUAUACUGAUAAACAUAUAGUUACAGAGUGAAGUGGAUAGAAAGCGGUUAGUAACAACUAACCGCAUAGCCAUAGAGAGCGGUUAGUAACAACAUGAGAAAAUCCAUCUGAGAUAUUUUCAGUUAGUAGGUAGUGUAAUUAUUUCCUCCCUAGUAGCUUCAAAUUUUCCCCCAGGGGGAAAUUUACCCCAGUUUGGGAACCACUGGUCUAGAUCAUCGGAAAUGCGAAACAAAUCACUGUCAGUCUUGACAGAGAUCUAGGUCGGUUCAAAAAGUGGUGUAGUCCAAGGCAUAAGAAACUAGAUUUAACAAAAAUGUCCCUAAAUAGCCCAUCUUAUAUUGGUGCCUGAAUAUAUAUCAAUAUCUAAUGCUUAUUACGAUUACCAGGUCAUUUCUUUCUCUGGAUUCUUGAAUAGUCUUCAUUUACCAGAAUGUAUCCUACCAAGAUCUUCGUGUUGUAUUCAAGCUUCAUUACUCAAUUAAGACUUAAAUUAAGGGAAAGUUCCACAUGGUAGUUGUAAAACCUGCUAUGCUGUAUGGCACUGAAGCAGCAAGUAUGACAGACAGAGGAUAAAUAAAGGGAAUGUUAAGAUGGAUAUUUAUUGAAACGAGGGAGGACAGGGUUAGGAGCGAGUAUAAGAAUAAGAGGUUUAAAAAUUUUGGUGAAAUGAUCCAAGAAAGUGCAGGAUGGGAGACUGAGAUGAUACGGACACCUACUGAGAAGAGUUUAACUGCUGGGUAGAACAAGACGAGGAAGACCAAGAAACAUUCUGACCUCGAGUUAAAGAAGCCAGAUCUCCUACUAAAAGAAAGAAAGAAAGAAAGAAAGAAAAAAAGAAAGAAAGGAAGAAAGAAAGAGGAAGAAGAAGAAGAAGAAGACGAAGAAGAAGAGGACGGCGGAGAGACUGUGUCAGGGAGGACUUGAGAGAGAAGCGACUUCACCAAGCAGAAGAUUACCACAGUGGUAGAUGGGAGUGGAUCAUCCUAAACGACGACCCCGUACAGAAGCCGAAUCUUGCAGAUGAAGAUUCUAAUAUUAGCACCAAAUUUAUUAUGGAAAUGUCUUAUUGCUCUUAGCAAAUACCCUUCUAAAUUAUAUAUGAUCAGUACACUUUAUACACAUCAAUAUAAUACUGUAUAUCCUUCAAAACAAUAAUAAUGUAUUCUCACUCAUAACAGGUAUUUCUGCAGUAUUUAUUCUAAACUGUCGAGUCUAAUCUAUAUAAUGCCUAUCAGAUGCAUUUGUGGAAGUUUUUUUUUCACAGAUCUUUCUAAUUCUUCCCCUACUUUCUUCAAUAUAUCUUCAUUGUCCCCAUACAACGUUGUAUCAUCUUUUAUCAUCAAAUACUCCUCAUUCUGUUUAUGAUCUAUUUAAUUUAAUGCAGCAGCCUUGCACUAACAUGGAGACAUGAAACAGCCAAGUCUUUUGUUUAACUUACUCUAAAAUAUCGUUUAAAGCUAUUAUUCUUAUCAUAUUUAGUCAACUUUGCAUUUUUAUGCUACUGUCAUUACAAUUGAAAGUAUAACUAAUUAUGAGUAUUUUGAUAGCAUAACAACGAAUAUUUUGGUGGAACUUUAUCUAAGUUUUUAUGUGACUUGUAUAAUGGUAUCAAAUGAAACAUUUGUACGAGAAACGAGUCUGAUAUAGAAAGAUUAUAUUUUCACAGUAACUGGCAGACUGUCAUAAUAUAUAACAUAGUAGAAAUCUUUAAUUUUUUUUCCAGAUUCGUUUAAUUCAAUGAAUAAUGAAAAUCCCAAAUUACAUUAGAACAUGAGACUGACUUACUAUCAUUACUGUUGCUUUGAGAACUGAAUCAGAAUAAAGAAAAGUAAACUGUAACACAUAAGAAGGUGAGAAAUGAUACAGUAAAAUCCCAGUCUCUAUGGCGUUCCCUGAAUAUGCGCUUUGUUUAACUUGGGAGCUGGGAUUAUCCCAUUCCUUCAAGGGUUUUCCCCUCGCUGCGUAUUUAAGGACGACAGCGGAGGCACUCGGCAUCAGUCUCUCUCGAGUCCGAGUGUCGUGCAGCAACAAGACGAGAGAGAGACAGGGAGAGCGAGAGGCAGACAGGACGACUAGGAACUGCGACGGACUCGAAGCGAGCCAUCAUCCUUCGUAAUGAAGCGCAUCAAAAUGGAGGCUGUCUGGGCGGCCGUGUUUCUCCUGUUGCAGAUGACGUCUGCUUUGAGCAUAAUGGGCCAUAUUCCAUCACAAUCAUCUAUACAGUCACGCUCAAAGCGUUCUGAGGGACGCACAUGCAAGCAAGAAGUUGUAGACAAUCUGGCCAAAACUGCAAAGGAAACUUGUUCCCAAGUGGAGGUUGUCGACAAAUACAUCAGCAACAUCCAGGCCAGACAACAAGUUCCGGUUCCAUCUUUCGCUGACCGCCAUGGCUUCAAAGCCAUCCUCGGUCAGUACAACGGAGACCUCAAGACGGCUCAAGGACACUGCCACCCAUGGAGGAAUGGUGACAAUGUUGUCGCUUCCCUGAAGCAAAUGGUCGUGGCUGCACAGGGAUUCGAACCGAAGUUCACUGAAGAACUUGUUAAGAAUCAAGCUAGGAUUAAGAAUCUUCUCGAAAACCACGAAGAUAUUGCAGCAGUGGAAGCCGCAGUUGCUGCAUUGCAGAAGGAUAUAGCAGAGGCUCGAGAGGCUAUCAAGGCUACAGAAGUUCAAGCAGUGAUUUCACAUCUGGAAAGUGUUGUCAGCACCAAAAGAACAAGAAAUCAACACCAUGAUGACUGAACACAACAUUACUCAAGGAAGACGCGAAUUGGCUGAACUAGUGAAAUAUCUUGAGUUUGUGAAGGCCGGAGCUGUGGAUAUUGAAAACAAAGCUAAUGCUGCCAAUACCAAGAUCACCACCUUUAGAGAAAAUAUCAUUAGAGAUGCCGGUGCCUUCAAGAGACACCGCACAAAUGCCGAAGAAGGAAUUGCUAAGCUGCAGCAAGAGAAACAGAACAACAAUAAUGCCAUCAACAGCAACCGACAAAGCAUCAACAACUUGAGAGGUAGCAUCAACCAGGAAAACUCCCAGAUCGCCUCACUUCAUGCUCAGAUUGCGCAGGCGCAGAGAGAGAUCAGGGAAAUUGAAGAUCGCAUCAACCGUAAUAUGAGGAAAGUGUCGAAGAAGAGGAGAUUCGGAAGGUGGUUCCGAUUCGUCCCAGUCGUUGGAUGGACCAUUGGAAACAAAUUCUAUAAGGAUGCCAAGCGAAGAGAAGAGCAACUGGCCAACGAAAAGAGACAUUUUGUUGCUGAGGGCAACCGUCAAAUUCAGAACCUCCAGGCCCAUAUCGCUUCACGUAACCAGGAGAUCAAUCGCCAUCAGCAGCAGAUCAACAGCCUUGAAGCCAAAAACCGAGAACUCGAACAGGAACUGCAGCACUUCAGUCAGCUCGACGGGAAUCUUCGCAGCCUUGAAGGUGAGGUCAACGCCAUCCUGCCAUCCAUCGCAAGUGCUGUCAGUGGAGUCGGGAAGAUGAAGGAAACCUUCGACUCUAUUCAGCAAAACUUAGGAAGUGCCAUUGCACGAGCUAAGGAAGCCAAAACGGAAGCUGAGAUACAAAAUAUGAGGUACUUCAUCUACAAUGAAAUCAAUGACAUCAAAUGCAAGUGGAAUAGUGCUAAGAAUAAAAUUGUUUUAGUUGGUAAGUGUAACUGAUACUUACAUUUCUGUGAUCUUUCUUCAUUAACUACUUUCUUGUUUCAUUCACCGGAGUGAUUUAAUUUAUUAAAAACUUUAUAUUUGAGACUGAGAUGUAAAGGUUAUUAUGUGUCAGUAAUAAGCUAUGAAAACAAAUAAAAAUGGAUUUUUAAAAAAA